Non-coding RNA from Ictidomys tridecemlineatus (thirteen-lined ground squirrel), 1551 nucleotides. The record is from RefSeq and is a predicted model, not a curated record. NCBI's taxonomy places the organism in Eukaryota, Metazoa, Chordata, Mammalia, Rodentia, Sciuridae.
GCUGAGCCCCCAGACAGUUUCACCAUGGGGGUAAAUUGCAAAACAAUAACAGUGAAACAAAACCUCAACUUUCAGCCUAGCGCCAGCCCCUGGAGAGGAAAGAGGGGCUAGAGAGACAAAACCCCAAAAAGAAUAAAUGGUUAUAAGAUUGAGAAUAUCUACAAGAAGGGAACACAAUUCCUCAUUCCCAGUGAUGUCAGGCUAAGACUUGUGAACCUGCCUCUGGUCCUGAAGGGAGAAGGAUGUGAGAUUGCUUCCACAGGACAGAAUGAAAGAGGGGAGGCAAGUCCUCCCCUAUGUGGUAAAUUAGGUUUCUGUGGCUCAAGUGGACCAUCUAAGAGAGCUACCUGCAGGGCAAGUGGACCCAGCAGAAGAAACUUUGGUGACUCCCAAGGACAGAGACCAUGUGUGGGUGACUAAAUCUGAACAUUAUCAUCUGGUUUUGAUUGCUUGGACAAGGAUAAAUGUUCGGAGCAUGACACAGUAAAAGGAAGACACAAGGAACCACGGAACAUCCUUUUGGAGUAGUUACUUUCUCAUCCUGGACCACCCACCUGCCUCCAGACUGUUAUAUGAGAGAAGGACACAUACCUGCAUAAGCUACUGAAUUUCAGGAUUUAUUUGUUCUAGCAUCCUAGUCUGUGUCCUACAUGAUAUACAUGGAAGCCUGAAAAGAUAAAUGAUGGGAGAUUAAGGCUGGAGAAAGAAUGGGACUACAACCUGUGCAGCACAGCACAGCAGAGGGAUUCCAGGGAAGGCACAACAUUAACUGAUUAGACUUUUCCUGCAUCUCUUGACUCAUCACAGGUAGAAGGUUGAUCACUAACACUUUCCUUUUAGGGACAGGAGAAGUUUUUCUUGAACACUUAAGAGGAGCACAAUGAAGUUAGUUAUCCCUUUUUCAUCAAGUUGGGAAGGUGGAAUUCUUAGAGCUGCUAUUGACAGAGCUAGCUAUAAAUUAUUCACUGGGCUUCUAUUUUCUGUCAGUGCCUGGGGUGGUAUGCUGAUGCGGGGCACAAAGCAGUAGUAGACAUGGUUGUUCUCUAAAGGUGCUUACAAUGAAACCAGGGAAACCUGACCUAUAUAAAAAAACAUGUGCCAUAAAGUGUCAUAUAGUAAGUACAUAUUGAGCAGUGAGAUCUCCAGAGAAGGUAGCUUGAAAUGAGCUGUGAGUGGUGGAUAAUAAUAAUGGCAAGGGCUACUAAAUAUUUGACAAAUGACAUGUUCCAGCAGCAUUCAGGUAAGCAAAGAGAGCAUAUGAGAUAUUUCAGGAGCUUGAAAAGGAAGGAAGUCAGAACGUACAUGGUAGGUAUGUGCAAGUUGGCUGAAGCAAGACUUUGUGCAAAAGGAGGGAAACAGGCUGAAAUGGAGGAAGACUUCUUCAUGGUGAGAGUCAAGGCUGAAGGGCUACAAUGUCCUGGCCUAACGAUGCCUGAUGAUGCUGUUGUUUCCACGUGCUUUCACUGUUCCGGUGGGACCCAUGAGAGAGGCAAUCUAGCUACUUCUCUCCAGUUUGAUCAAAAUACAUAAAAUUCAUUUUUCCUUUUUCUA